GGUGAGUAACGCGUAGGAAUAUACCUUAAAGAGGGGGACAACCUGGGGAAACUCAGGCUAAUACCGCAUAAUAUCUUAGGAUUAAAGUUUGGGACCUUCGGGCCAAGCGCUUUAAGAAUAGCCUGCGUACGAUUAGCUAGUUGGCGGGGUAAGAGCCCACCAAGGCGAUGAUCGUUAGCUGGUCUGAGAGGAUGGUCAGCCACACUGGGACUGAGACACGGCCCAGACUCC
RNAcentral lists this ribosomal RNA (231 nucleotides) under uncultured bacterium. Its description in RNAcentral is "partial 16S ribosomal RNA". It matches the Rfam family "Bacterial small subunit ribosomal RNA", at positions 105 to 339 of the family's 1533-position model. The record is from RNAcentral.